This 520-nucleotide ribosomal RNA is filed under the name uncultured bacterium. Its description in RNAcentral is "bacterial SSU rRNA". It matches the Rfam family "Archaeal small subunit ribosomal RNA", at positions 345 to 864 of the family's 1478-position model. The record is from RNAcentral.
AACCUCCGCAAUGUGAGAAAUCGCGACGGGGGGAUCCCAAGUGCCAUUCUUAACGGGAUGGCUUUUCAUUAGUGUAAAAAGCUUUUGGAAUAAGAGCUGGGCAAGACCGGUGCCAGCCGCCGCGGUAACACCGGCAGCUCUAGUGGUAGCAAUUUUUAUUGGGCCUAAGCGUCCGUAGCCGGUUUAAUAAGUCUCUGGUGAAAUCCUGUAGCUUAACUGUGGGAAUUGCUGGAGAUACUAUUAGACUUGAGACCGGGAGAGGUUAGAGGUACUCCCAGGGUAGAGGUGAAAUUCUGUAAUCCUGGGAGGACCGCCUGUUGCGAAGGCGUCUAACUGGAACGGUUCUGACGGUGAGGGACGAAAGUUAGGGGCGCGAACCGGAUUAGAUACCCGGGUAGUCCUAACUGUAAACGAUGCGGACUUGGUGUUGGGGUGGCUUUGAGCUGCUCCAGUGCCGAAGGGAAGCUGUUAAGUCCGCCGCCUGGGAAGUACGGUCGCAAGACUGAAACGUUAAAAGGUA